AUUGAACGCUGGCGGCAGGCUUAACACAUGCAAGUCGAGCGGGGGAAGGUAGCUUGCUACCGGACCUAGCGGCGGACGGGGGAGUAAUGCUUAGGAAUCCGCCUAUUAGUGGGGGACAACAUCCCGAAAGGGAUGCUAAUAACGGCUGAGUCCUCACGGAGAAAGCAGGGGAUCUUCGGACCUUGCGCUAAUAGAUGAGCCUAAGUCGGAUUAGCUAGGUGGUGGGGUAAAGGCCUACCAAGGCGACGAUUUGUAGCGGGUCUGAGAGGAUGAUCCGCCACACUGGGACUGAGACACGGCCCAGACUCCUACGGGAGGCAGCAGUGGGGAAUAUUGGACAAUGGGGGGAACCCUGAUCCAGCCAUGCCGCGUGUGUGAAGAAGGCCUUAUGGUUGUAAAGCACUUUAAGCGAGGAGGAGGCUACUCUAGUUAAUACCUAGGGAUAGUGGACGUUACUCGCAGAAUAAGCACCGGCUAACUCUGUGCCAGCCGCCGCAGUAA
Molecule: ribosomal RNA, 501 nt
Filed under: uncultured bacterium
Lineage: Bacteria
Description: partial 16S ribosomal RNA
Rfam family: Bacterial small subunit ribosomal RNA
Source: RNAcentral